Molecule: long non-coding RNA, 2116 nt
Organism: Labeo rohita (rohu)
Lineage: Eukaryota; Metazoa; Chordata; Actinopteri; Cypriniformes; Cyprinidae
Exons: 5
Source: RefSeq, a predicted model, not a curated record
AAAAAAAAAAAAGAAAAAGUUUUGGACAGUGGACGCCAGCAAUACCCAUGAUCCUCAGCCUCCGUUGCUAUGGAGACGGAGCCAGCCUGCUUUGCGAUUGGGUGAAUUCUUGUCAUUGCGCUCAAACCACUGUUCAUUAAGGUACCGGGCUAAUAAUUAAUGAGCACGUUUUGUUUAAAUCUUAUAAUUGAUCCCUUUCUUUGCCCUUAGACUCACGUGGUUUUCAUAUUAGGACAACGAUUAAAGCCCGACCAAUGGUUUCCUCAUUAUCAGCGGGAAAAAAAAAACAUACACUUGUGAAAUUAGGCUAAACGGCCUAGCAAACUUAAGUAUAAGCUAACUCUCGGUUAUAUCAGCUUAAGGGUAACCUAGCGUGGAGCACUGCAUUAUUGUGUGGGUCAAGGGUGAUUUUAUCUCAAUCAUCAUGACCUUAUGUUUCAGUCGUAUCCAAAAUGAGAAAAUGUGAACAUUAUGGACGCUAAACACGCUGAAGCAGUGUAAUGAUUCAUUCAUACUCGACGCUGGAGGGCGCUCUUGCGCAGAAAGUACUAAAAAACUCCUAAAGUAAUAACGAGUGACGUGCCAGGAAAUCCCUAAUAUUGACAAAGGUAUCCAGCUAUUGCUGUAGCUCUGCUGAAUAAAAACAGAAACGUUGUGACUGAUGAAAGGACGAAAGACAAAUAUAUGAAAUAUAUGAUCCUGUCAAAGAAAUCACCUGUCCAAAUCUUGUCCGAACCUGUCCGAAUCUAACCGAACCCAAAGGCACUUUUAAGAGCCAAAUCUUCUAUCUAUCUAUCUAUCUAUCUAUCUAUCUAUCUAUCUGUCUGUCUGUCUGUCUGUCUGUCUAUCUAUCUAUCUAUCUAUCAUCUAUAUAUCUAUCUAUCUCUAUCAUUUUCUGUCUCUAUCUCUCGCAAUGCCAGGGGGGUCUACAAAAAAGAUUUGUCCCUUCUGUCAGGGCAUUUUAUUCUGCGCCCAGAAGGUCUGUUCAAAUUGUAAAAAAGAACAGCCUGUGAAGCAGCGGCUCAAGAAGAAGCUUCAGCAGUUUAAUGAAAAGCGAGAACAAUGGGUGGUUGGCCGUAAGAGAAACCACAACAUUGCAUCAAUCAAGGAUGAAGCCAUUGUCAUGCUUGAGAAACUCCAUGCCAUAGGAUACAAGCCAGUUCUGCUUCUUGGCAAGGAGACCAAAAAAAAAAAAAAUAAGUGUGAAAUUUUAACCCCUCGAUGCACACUUUCCACCUAUGCCAAGGACUUCCUUCAGAAGAUAGGUUCAUUUUAUGAAUACCUUUGUGAAGUUAAGAUGCAUGCACUAUAUUUUUUAAAGUCACAGUUCACAACUUGUGUUGAGUAUGCAAAAGAUUUGUAUUAAUGUUUUCUAAAUCUUAAAGGAAUGGCUCCCCCCUACAACCUGGGUUAGGAGUCAUGAACUCCUAACCUUCUUGACAGUAGAAACUUUGGAGAGGUUUAAAUUUUUAUAUAACCAACACAUGUUAGCAUGUUAGCUGAUUCUUUUCCCACAGUUAAAGUUUUUUAAUCUUUUUCUUAUCGUAAUUAUCAGUCAUUGUUGGCUAAAUUUUAAUUUUAGGGUGAUCCAUCCCUAAAACAAUGUUCUUAUUCACCUUUUAAAAGAGAGCAAGAUUUAAGGAAUGAUGGGAAGAGCAGUUUUCCAGUACCACAUUUGCAGUUUGUCACCCACAAACCCACAAAAUUGGACUGUAUGAUUCAAACAGCUUGACACUUGAAACAUAGAGGUUAACCAUGAGUUUGAACCAUGCCUGUUUUAAGUAAGCAAAACAUAACACUUGUUUAACUUGCACAGGUUGGGACCAGGAUUCCAGUGGCAGUGAUGCUGAACUGAUUACACUGCACCUCACACCCUGUGACCCAUUGGAGGGGCAGGAGGAACAGGCAAUCAUUAUGGAGGGGGAGGAGGAGCAGGCGAUCGUUACGGAGGGGCAGGAGGAGCAGGCAGAGCAGGCAACCAUUACAGAGGGGCCUAAGGAGCAGAUGAACGGUAUGGAGGGCCAAGGGUCAGCCAUGGGCACAGUUGAUCUCAGUUGCAAAAAGAGAAAGUCAGAGGGACCAAGGCAUAUGCCUAAGAUUAAAAAGCCACAAAAGA